RNAcentral lists this ribosomal RNA (490 nucleotides) under uncultured bacterium. RNAcentral describes it as "partial 16S ribosomal RNA". It matches the Rfam family "Bacterial small subunit ribosomal RNA", at positions 29 to 507 of the family's 1533-position model. The record is from RNAcentral.
AGUGAACGCUGGCGGUAGGCCUAACACAUGCAAGUCGAACGGCAGCACAGGAGAGCUUGCUCUCUGGGUGGCGAGUGGCAGACGGGUGAGGAAUACAUCGGAAUCUGCCCAGUCGUGGGGGAUAACGUAGGGAAACUUACGCUAAUACCGCAUACGACCUUCGGGUGAAAGAGGGGGAUCGCAAGACCUCUCGCGAUUGGAUGAGCCGAUGUCGGAUUAGCUAGUUGGCGGGGUAAUGGCCCACCAAGGCGACGAUCCGUAGCUGGUCUGAGAGGAUGAUCAGCCACACUGGAACUGAGACACGGUCCAGACUCCUACGGGAGGCAGCAGUGGGGAAUAUUGGACAAUGGGCGCAAGCCUGAUCCAGCCAUACCGCGUGGGUGAAGAAGGCCUUCGGGUUGUAAAGCCCUUUUGUUGGGAAAGAAAUCUUUCAGGCUAAUACCCUGGGAGGAUGACGGUACCCAAAGAAUAAGCACCGGCUAACUUCGUG